This 430-nucleotide ribosomal RNA is filed under the name uncultured bacterium. RNAcentral's name for it is "partial 16S ribosomal RNA". It matches the Rfam family "Bacterial small subunit ribosomal RNA", at positions 355 to 801 of the family's 1533-position model. The record is from RNAcentral.
UGGGGAAUAUUGGACAAUGGGGGCAACCCUGAUCCAGCAAUGCCGCGUGUGUGAAGAAGGUCUUCGGAUUGUAAAGCACUUUCGACGGGGACGAUGAUGACGGUACCCGUAGAAGAAGCCCCGGCUAACUUCGUGCCAGCAGCCGCGGUAAUACGAAGGGGGCUAGCGUUGCUCGGAAUGACUGGGCGUAAAGGGCGUGUAGGCGGUUUACACAGUCAGAUGUGAAAUCCCCCGGGCUUAACCUGGGAGCUGCAUUUGAUACGUGUAGACUAGAGUGUGAGAGAGGGUUGUGGAAUUCCCAGUGUAGAGGUGAAAUUCGUAGAUAUUGGGAAGAACACCGGUGGCGAAGGCGGCAACCUGGCUCAUUACUGACGCUGAGGCGCGAAAGCGUGGGGAGCAAACAGGAUUAGAUACCCUGGUAGUCCACGCU